Molecule: unclassified non-coding RNA, 222 nt
Filed under: Hevea brasiliensis (rubber tree)
Lineage: Eukaryota; Viridiplantae; Streptophyta; Magnoliopsida; Malpighiales; Euphorbiaceae
Source: RNAcentral
GCGGGAUGGCCGCAGUGUAAUGAAAGUUAAAAAAUUUUCCCCUUUUUCUUAAAGGCAACACUGGUUUUAGGCGUGGCUACGUAGGUGACGGAAAGGGCUCAAAGGAAAGGAUUUGCCUGAUAAAAGUGGACUCUUACCAAUAGACAACCCAGUAUCUGAGGUCCCAACGAACACUGUACACACAACUGUUUAUAGUUGUAGUCAAUAUAUCCCAGAAGGAAU